This 71-nucleotide transfer RNA is filed under the name Clonostachys rosea. It matches the Rfam family "tRNA". Rfam says of the family: Transfer RNA (tRNA) molecules are approximately 80 nucleotides in length. Their secondary structure includes four short double-helical elements and three loops (D, anti-codon, and T loops). The record is from RNAcentral. Lineage: Eukaryota; Fungi; Ascomycota; Sordariomycetes; Hypocreales; Bionectriaceae.
GCCCCUAUGGUGUAGUGGUAACACGCUCCGACGCUGAUGGAGAGACCUCGGUUCGAUUCCGGGAAGGGGCA